GUAACCCUGAACUCACCGCAUUUAAGCCAAUCCCCGCGCAAACAGCCGUCCAACCAAAGUCUUUCGACAGGCUAUGUGAUAUUUUCUUGACGAAUCCUCAGGGAACCAAGUCCGAUAUUUUUCAGCCGAGUCCCUUCAGUCGGGCCAGGAAUAUGUGCUUGUCAACCAGACAAUCUCCAGCUGACAUGACUCAUGUGCCAACCUUCAAACGUCCGCCAAAGCCACUUCCUCGAAGUAGACCACUAAAGCCAGAAAAGCUGCUCAUGCCAGAAAAGCCACCAAAACCAGAAAGGCCACCUCCACCCACACCCGCAAACCCUAUAUGCAAAGAGCACAGUUUAGCAUAAUGUUUUUAUAUCUCUGCUUUAACUCUUUGCUGCUGCAACUGUUAUGCUUUUGCAGCAUUGCAUCUGAUUUAAUUUUCUUUAAUAAGCAGUAUACUUUUUAUGAGUCAGUUGGAGGUUGCCGGUUUCUUUCACAUGCUGUCCAGUGCUCCUUUCCCAUUCCCAAACCUGUUGGAUGAUGUAGAGAUGGAUGAUGAAGACAGUGACAAAGUCAGUGGAGAGCCUCAGAUUUGAGCUUUGAACAGACUGCGUAGGCCUAUUUGGGAGAUAUUAAUGAUGGUUGUGAUGACAAUCUAUUUUUAAGUCACUCUGGCCCAUCACAUAGUGCAAUCCACAUCCAUCCUUUUAAACGCUAACUGCUGCACUUAAUAAGGCAAACACAAAUAUUGAUAUUAGGGUGAUUUGUGCUAUAGGGUGUUAAUGCAAAAUGUGACGUCACACCAGGAUGCCGUCAUGUUUUAGGCACUUUUGUUGCUGUCCAAGUGCUGACAUGUAGAAUGUAAAUUCUCCUCCCAGACUUCAAUGGAAACUCAACAGUCGGGCAUGGGAGCGUCUACCAAAUAAGGGGUAAUGCGUGGAGCCCAGAAAAUAAAAUUUCCAAAUAAGGAAAAGGAGUGGUACUUAUUUGUGGAGAGUUGAGCAGGGCUGUGUGAUUGUAAAUGCUUGUCCAUUUUGUCUGUUUUUGUCUCUUAACU
Sander lucioperca (pikeperch) is the source of this 1039-nucleotide long non-coding RNA. RefSeq lists it as uncharacterized. NCBI's taxonomy places the organism in Eukaryota, Metazoa, Chordata, Actinopteri, Perciformes, Percidae. The transcript has 2 exons. The record is from RefSeq and is a predicted model, not a curated record.